AAGUUGUAACAAGGUUUCUGUAGGUAAACCUGCGGAAGGAUUAUUACCUUUCUGGCUAUUUAAUAGCUUGUCUAGGGGCUGUAGUUUCUGCAGUCCUUAACUACAUCCGUGUUUUUUGCGUACUACAUGUUUCCUUGGCGGGCUUGCUCGCUGGUUAGACAAACUAAAACUCUUUGCAAUUGUAAUUAGCGUCUGAAUUAUAUAAUAAUUACAA
RNAcentral lists this unclassified non-coding RNA (214 nucleotides) under plant metagenome. Its description in RNAcentral is "partial contains small subunit ribosomal RNA and internal transcribed spacer 1". The record is from RNAcentral.